Molecule: long non-coding RNA, 324 nt
Filed under: Dasypus novemcinctus (nine-banded armadillo)
Lineage: Eukaryota; Metazoa; Chordata; Mammalia; Cingulata; Dasypodidae
Description: lncRNA (ENSDNOG00000051463.1)
Source: RNAcentral
CUUUAUUACAUCUAUAUGAUUUAUCUAAUUUGAGUAUAAAGACUAUUAAAGAAGUUAUACCCUGAGUCUUCACUGUCACCUGAAUUACUGAAAGGUUUGUCUUCUCGGUUACAGGACUUAAGAUACUAUCAACUGCAUAAAAAGAGAGUCCUUCAAACAGAUGAUCCUUUUUCUAGAAAGAAGCUGAGCAUUGUGCUUAUCUGAUUUUGAGUGAAAACACAGAGGAAGACUGUUUUCAGCUGAGCUAUUGACAAUGCUACCACUGGUGAGUAGGGAAUUCUUUGUACUGAAAUUACCCAUGCGUUGUCAGCAGACGGGAAGGUU